RNAcentral lists this ribosomal RNA (750 nucleotides) under uncultured bacterium. RNAcentral's name for it is "bacterial SSU rRNA". It matches the Rfam family "Bacterial small subunit ribosomal RNA", at positions 57 to 792 of the family's 1533-position model. The record is from RNAcentral.
GCAGUCGACGGGACUUUUUCAUAGCUUGCUAAGGAAAAGUCUAGUGGCGGACGAGUGAGUAACACGUGAGCUACCUGCCCCGAUGCGGGGGAUAGCCUCUGGAAACGGAGAGUAAUACCGCAUGUGACCGCUCUUUAGUGAGCUGGUUAAAGAUGCCCUCGGGUGUCGCUUCGGGAUGGGCUCGCGGCCUAUUAGCUAGAUGGUGAGGUAAUGGCUCACCAUGGCGAUGACGGGUACCUGUUCUGAGAGGAAGAUCAGGCACGCUGGAACUGAGACACGGUCCAGACACCUACGGGUGGCAGCAGUCGAGAAUCAUUCACAAUGGACGAAAGUCUGAUGGUGCAACGCCGCGUGGAGGAUGAAGGCCCUCGGGUCGUAAACUCCUGUCAUCAGGGAGUAAGGCUUAUUUGUUAAUAGCAGGUAAGCUUGAUAGUACCUGAAGAGGAAGGGACGGCUAACUUCGUGCCAGCAGCCGCGGUAAUACGAAGGUCCCAAGCGUUGUUCGGAAUCACUGGGCGUAAAGGGAGAGUAGGCGGUUUGGAAAGUCAGGUGUGAAAGGCAGGGGCUCAACCUCUGGACGGCACCCGAUACUCCCAGACUAGAGUAACGGAGAGGUUGCAGGAAUUCUCGGUGUAGCAGUGAAAUGCGUAGAGAUCGAGAGGAAGACCAAUGGCGAAAGCAUGCAACUGGACGUUUACUGACGCUGAGUCUCGAAGGCUAGGGGAGCGAAAGGGAUUAGAUACCCUGGUA